Molecule: ribosomal RNA, 156 nt
Filed under: Chlorophyta sp. URa28
Lineage: Eukaryota; Viridiplantae; Chlorophyta
Description: 5.8S ribosomal RNA
Rfam family: 5.8S ribosomal RNA
About the family: 5.8S ribosomal RNA (5.8S rRNA) is a component of the large subunit of the eukaryotic ribosome. It is transcribed by RNA polymerase I as part of the 45S precursor that also contains 18S and 28S rRNA.
Source: RNAcentral
CAACUCUCAACAACGGAUAUCUUGGCUCUCGUAACGAUGAAGAACGCAGCGAAAUGCGAUACGUAGUGUGAAUUGCAGAAUUCCGUGAAUCAUCGAAUCUUUGAACGCAAAUUGCGCUCGAGGCCUUCGGGUCAAGAGCAUGUCUGUUUCAGCGUC